RNAcentral lists this transfer RNA (51 nucleotides) under Platevindex sp. CL-2014. RNAcentral describes it as "tRNA-Phe". Lineage: Eukaryota; Metazoa; Mollusca; Gastropoda; Systellommatophora; Onchidiidae. The record is from RNAcentral.
AACACCUGAAAGUUCUUACAUUUUAGAGUUUGAGCUUUUUAGUGUUUCUAC